ACAUCUAAGUUGCCCGCAAGCUGUUGAGCAUCUUCAAUCCUCCAGUUAGUAAUUUUAUCCACCAUACCUUCCAUGACAUUGGGUGUAAAAGAGUAUUGGAGAGCAGGAACAGUAGCAAUUUUUUCUAGAAUGUCUUCAAAGUGAUAGCCUUGAUGUCUCCAUAUCACCUCCAAAUGCUCCAUCAAGUAAAUCCCAUUUCGACAUUUCAUCCCGGACUCCUUUAACACGCCAGUUUGGGGAGGUCUGAGUACAAUGGCGGACAACAUCGGUACAACGAGUAGAAUUCUUCAAGAAUAUGGCAACAUCAAUAGCACAAAAGCGCCAUGAAGUAGAAGUGGCGCCUAGUAUACAAGCAUAUGACCAAUUGGUGUCACAGGACAUAUGUGAUACCGUUUACACGACAAGGAAUACAAAUUUUGCUGAUGUUCACAACCUGGACAAGUGUAUCAACCACCUCAACCACUCCUUGGCCACCCUUGGCUUUUCAGCAGGUCUUGAUCUUCUCUCCACGGAACGUGUGACCUCGACACGAUUUGAUGAUGUUGCCGUCGGAGAUGGCGGAGCUUCAAGUCAAGGUGGAAUCACUGACUGAGCAAUUGACCAACAAGGAUCGCGGAUUGCAUGCAAUUAAAAUCAAGGUGUUGGAACAUAUGAAGACGGUAGAGUUGAAAGUCACUUAGGACAAAUCUAAAGCUAAGGCCUCCGACAUGACGGUGAGGUCGAAGAGAAGGUCAAGCUGGAAUCCAGAAUGUGACAAUGGCAGAAGUCGAAGCCUAAAACAUCGAAGAUUCUUCCUCCUCGAAGUCCCAUGCGUUCCAAGAGCCCUACACAUGAUCGAUUGUGCCCAUUUUCUGUGAAACAAGUCCUACGUGCAGAUUCCACAUUUCUUACAAUCCUAGAUCCUAGUGCAAUAUUGGUGACUUAUUCAUUGUGUCUCUUUUCAACAGGAUCUAUUCGUGUUCCUGAGAAAAAUAUCUUUCUUCAUCCUACAUUCAAUAUGACAAUCCUAUUUUCCAAGAAGAACCCUCUAUUUCAACUUCUGAUUCAACCCAUUUCUUGGCUACCGGACUUGAUUCUGAGUCAGUAACACCAUUUCAACAAUUCUAGCAGAAGAAUCCUGAUUUACAGAUGAAGCUUGUAAAGCAGGACCUUACUAUCCUCAACAGAGCAACCAGGUUCAUGCAUUUUGGUGCAUAUUUGUGGUUGAGAAGGGCUGCUCUUGGAUAAGAAAUUUUAGUUUUUUCAUCCAUUAUGCUAGAUUACAUGCUAAUCUUGUGGCUCUUGGUGAAUGUCCAGGGAGGAGCUCUUGCAACUCAAGGGAAUUGGACCUAAGCGUGCAGCAGAUAUUCUAGAGCUGCGAGAAAAUUGCGAGGAACCAUUUAAGUUGCAAGAUCUCGAGAAUAUUGGGCUCAGUGAUAGACAGCUUUUGCAAAACAACAAGAGCCUAGAGAUGGAAGUUUCGGCCUGCGCUCGGCUUUUCCUCAACCAAUAGAAAUUUGGUGAGCAUGGCAGACCAAUACUGUCAAGUAAUCAAUGUGGGAGUUGAUGACAUUGAAACAUGUUUGGAGAUAGCUGCUGCAGAUUCGGAAUGGUCUUGGGUUACCCUGCCACCAAUCACGUCUCCUGUCCAUAGUGGAAUUUAUGGCAACCAUGAUAAGGCCACCAAUUGCCCUGUCAUUGUCAUCAAGACCAAGUGCAUCACAGAGCCAUCUCUCAAGACUCAUAACUGGUUCAUUUUUAAUGAUCACGAGGUGUUCAAAGAUUACUUGGAAUGGGGAGUUGACAAAUUUGAAUAUGGUACUCUUUGUAAACGUAUGAUGUGAAGUGAAGGAAAGGAUGGCUCCUUCAAUGGACAUUGCUAAAGUAGAGAAGCAUGGGACAUGGGGCACAGGAUAUGGGGCACGGGACAUGGGGCGCGAGACAUGGGGCGCGAGACAUGGGACACAAUUUGAUACAAACAGGCAAGGUAGAUUGUAGAUGACACUGACCAAGUUGUAUAUAUUUUUUGACCUCCCAUUUUUCCAAAUAAUUCAAAGGAUCGGGAAUAUACAUACAAGCCAAGGUAA
This is an RNA transcript of Physcomitrium patens, 2066 nucleotides long. It is a transcript of the gene named kinesin-like protein KIN-10C, with no coding region annotated. NCBI's taxonomy places the organism in Eukaryota, Viridiplantae, Streptophyta, Bryopsida, Funariales, Funariaceae. The record is from RefSeq and is a predicted model, not a curated record.